This 101-nucleotide transfer RNA is filed under the name Streptomyces olivaceoviridis. RNAcentral's name for it is "tRNA-Trp". The record is from RNAcentral. RNAcentral also lists the same sequence under 1 other name. Lineage: Bacteria; Bacillati; Actinomycetota; Actinomycetes; Kitasatosporales; Streptomycetaceae.
GGUGGACCUGGAGCGCGCCGGCGAGGUCUCGCCGCUGCUCCAGAUCGCGGAGGGCAGCGACGACCGGCUGCUGCUCGCCGAUCCCGACAGCGGCCUGCUGC